This 107-nucleotide small nuclear RNA is filed under the name Colobus angolensis palliatus. Lineage: Eukaryota; Metazoa; Chordata; Mammalia; Primates; Cercopithecidae. The record is from RNAcentral.
GUGCUCGCUUUGGCAACACAUAUACUAAAAUUGGGACGACACAGAGAAGUUUAACAUGGUUCCUGUGCAAGGAUGACAUGAAAAUGAAUGAAGGGUUCCAAUUUUAU